Molecule: non-coding RNA, 96 nt
Organism: Suillus paluster
Lineage: Eukaryota; Fungi; Basidiomycota; Agaricomycetes; Boletales; Suillaceae
Source: the annotation of a RefSeq genome assembly
GGCCUGGUGGUCUAGUAGUAUGAUUCCUUGUUAGGGUGAACCACCAAACUGUAUUUGGUUUCGAGGAGGUCCCGGGUUCAAUUCCCGGCCAGGCCC